This 749-nucleotide ribosomal RNA is filed under the name Microbacterium maritypicum. Its description in RNAcentral is "bacterial SSU rRNA". It matches the Rfam family "Bacterial small subunit ribosomal RNA", at positions 74 to 836 of the family's 1533-position model. The record is from RNAcentral. Lineage: Bacteria; Bacillati; Actinomycetota; Actinomycetes; Micrococcales; Microbacteriaceae.
CAGAGCUUGCUCUGUGGAUCAGUGGCGAACGGGUGAGUAACACGUGAGCAACCUGCCCCUGACUCUGGGAUAAGCGCUGGAAACGGCGUCUAAUACUGGAUAUGUGACGUGACCGCAUGGUCUGCGUCUGGAAAGAAUUUCGGUUGGGGAYGGGCUCGCGGCCUAUCAGCUUGUUGGUGAGGUAAUGGCUCACCAAGGCGUCGACGGGUAGCCGGCCUGAGAGGGUGACCGGCCACACUGGGACUGAGACACGGCCCAGACUCCUACGGGAGGCAGCAGUGGGGAAUAUUGCACAAUGGGCGGAAGCCUGAUGCAGCAACGCCGCGUGAGGGAUGACGGCCUUCGGGUUGUAAACCUCUUUUAGCAGGGAAGAAGCGAAAGUGACGGUACCUGCAGAAAAAGCGCCGGCUAACUACGUGCCAGCAGCCGCGGUAAUACGUAGGGCGCAAGCGUUAUCCGGAAUUAUUGGGCGUAAAGAGCUCGUAGGCGGUUUGUCGCGUCUGCUGUGAAAUCCGGAGGCUCAACCUCCGGCCUGCAGUGGGUACGGGCAGACUAGAGUGCGGUAGGGGAGAUUGGAAUUCCUGGUGUAGCGGUGGAAUGCGCAGAUAUCAGGAGGAACACCGAUGGCGAAGGCAGAUCUCUGGGCCGUAACUGACGCUGAGGAGCGAAAGGGUGGGGAGCAAACAGGCUUAGAUACCCUGGGUAGUCCACCCCGUAAACGUUGGGAACUAGUUGUGGGGUCCAUUCCA